AUGCAAGUCGAACGAUGAAGUUCCUUCGGGAAUGGAUUAGUGGCGAACGGGUGAGUAACACGUGGGCAACCUGCCCCUGACUUUGGGAUAACGCUUCGAAAGAGGUGCUAAUACCGGAUAUGAGCUCCCUUGGCAUCUUGGGGGCUGGAAAGUUUUUCGGUCAGGGAUGGGCCCGCGGCCUAUCAGCUUGUUGGUGAGGUAAUGGCUCACCAAGGCGACGACGGGUAGCCGGCCUGAGAGGGCGACCGGCCUCACUGGGACUGAGACACGGCCCAGACUCC
RNAcentral lists this ribosomal RNA (281 nucleotides) under uncultured bacterium. RNAcentral describes it as "partial 16S ribosomal RNA". It matches the Rfam family "Bacterial small subunit ribosomal RNA", at positions 55 to 339 of the family's 1533-position model. The record is from RNAcentral.